AUUGAACGCUGGCGGCAUGCUUUACACAUGCAAGUCGAACGGUAACAGGGAGCUUGCUCCGCUGACGAGUGGCGAACGGGUGAGUAAUAUAUCGGAACGUACCCAAGAGUGGGGGAUAACGUAGCGAAAGUUACGCUAAUACCGCAUACGAUCUAUGGAUGAAAGUGGGGGAUCGCAAGACCUCAUGCUCCUGGAGCGGCCGAUAUCUGAUUAGCUAGUUGGUGAGGUAAAGGCUCACCAAGGCGACGAUCAGUAGCUGGUCUGAGAGGACGACCAGCCACACUGGAACUGAGACACGGUCCAGACUCCUACGGGAGGCAGCAGUGGGGAAUUUUGGACAAUGGGCGCAAGCCUGAUCCAGCAAUGCCGCGUGAGUGAAGAAGGCCUUCGGGUUGUAAAGCUCUUUUGUCAGGGAAGAAACGGGAGUGGCUAAUAUCCAUUCCUAAUGACGGUACCUGAAGAAUAAGCACCGGCUAACUACGUGCCAGCCGCCGCGGUAA
This 500-nucleotide ribosomal RNA is filed under the name uncultured bacterium. RNAcentral's name for it is "partial 16S ribosomal RNA". It matches the Rfam family "Bacterial small subunit ribosomal RNA", at positions 30 to 523 of the family's 1533-position model. The record is from RNAcentral.